RNAcentral lists this ribosomal RNA (429 nucleotides) under uncultured archaeon. Its description in RNAcentral is "bacterial SSU rRNA". It matches the Rfam family "Archaeal small subunit ribosomal RNA", at positions 474 to 903 of the family's 1478-position model. The record is from RNAcentral.
UACCAGCUCUCCGAGUGGUAGGGAUGUUUAUUGGGCUUAAAGCGUCCGUAGCCGGCUUAGCAAGUCUCCUGUUAAAUUCAGCGACCUAAUCGUUGAGCCGCGGGAGAUACUACUAGGCUAGGAGGCGGGAGAGGUCAACGGUACUUCCGGGGUAGGGGUGAAAUCCUAUAAUCCCGGGAGGACCACCAGUGGCGAAGGCUGUUGACUAGAACGCGCUCGACGGUGAGGGACGGAAGCUGGGGGAGCGAACCGGAUUAGAUACCCGGGUAGUCCCAGCUGUAAACGAUGCGAGCUAGGUGUUGGGGUGGCUACGUGCCACUUCAGUGCCGCAGGGAAGCCAUUAAGCUCGCCGCCUGGGGAGUACGGCCGCAAGGCUGAAACUUAAAGGAAUUGGCGGGGGAGCACCACAAGGCGUGAAGCUUGCGGUUC